GACGAACGCUGGCGGCGUGCUUAACACAUGCAAGUCGAACGGAAAGGCCCUGCUUUUGUGGGGUGCUCGAGUGGCGAACGGGUGAGUAACACGUGAGUAACCUGCCCUUGACUUUGGGAUAACUUCAGGAAACUGGGGCUAAUACCGGAUAGGAGCUCCUGCUGCAUGGUGGGGGUUGGAAAGUUUCGGCGGUUGGGGAUGGACUCGCGGCUUAUCAGCUUGUUGGUGGGGUAGGGGCUUACCAAGGCUUUGACGGGUAGCCGGCCUGAGAGGGUGACCGGCCACAUUGGGACUGAGAUACGGCCCAGACUCCUACGGGAGGCAGCGGUGGGGAAUAUUGCACAAUGGGCGGAAGCCUGAUGCAGCAACGCCGCGUGCGGGAUGACGGCCUUCGGGUUGUAAACCGCUUUCGCCUGUGACGAAGCGUGAGUGACGGUAAUGGGUAAAGAAGCACCGGCUAACUACGUG
Molecule: ribosomal RNA, 468 nt
Filed under: uncultured bacterium
Lineage: Bacteria
Description: partial 16S ribosomal RNA
Rfam family: Bacterial small subunit ribosomal RNA
Source: RNAcentral